RNAcentral lists this ribosomal RNA (1411 nucleotides) under metagenome. RNAcentral's name for it is "bacterial SSU rRNA". It matches the Rfam family "Archaeal small subunit ribosomal RNA". The record is from RNAcentral.
UCCAGUUGAUCCUGCUGGAGGCUGCGGCUAUCUGGUUUGCACUUAGGCAUGCAAGUUUCUUUGUUUCUCACGAAAUAGAGGGGCGAACUGCUCAGUAACACGUAGCUAACCUACCCUAUAGGCGAGGAUAACGUCGGGAAACUGACGCUAAAACUCGAUAGAAGAUUUUUUUCUGGAAUGAUUAAUCUUUAAAGUUUCGAUAGGAUGGGGCUGCGGCGGAUUAGCUUGUUGGCGGGGUAAUAGCCCACCAAGGCGAUGAUCCGUAAGGGCUCUUAGCGGAGGAGCCCUGAGAGGGAAUCUGAGACACUAUUCCCAGCCCUACGGGGUGCAGCAGCUAGGAAUUUUUUGCAAUGCACGCAAGUGUGACAAAGCGAGCCAGAGUGCUUUUCCGUAUUGGAAAAGCUUUUUGUGAGAUGUAAAAAGUCUCACGAAUAAGGACUGGGCAAGACUGGUGCCAGCCGCCGCGGUAAUACCAGCGGUCCAAGUCGCAGCCACUUUUAUUGGGUCUAAAACAUCCGUAGCUUGCUAUGUAAGUCUCUUGUGAAAUCUGACAUCUUAAGUGUUGGGCGUGCAAGAGAUACUGCAUGGCUAGAGACCGGAAGACGUGAAGAGUACAGAUAGGGUAGCGGUCAAACGCGCUGAUCCUUUCUGGACUAACAAUAGCGAAGGCACUUCACGAGAACGGAUCUGACAGUGAGGGAUGAAGGCUAGGGGCGCAAAACGGAUUAGAUACCCGUGUAGUCCUAGCAGUAAACACUGAACACUAAACAUUGGGACCUCCUCGAGAGGUUUCAGUGCUGAAGGGAAGCCGUAGAGUGUUCUACCUGGGAAGUAUAGUCGCAAGGCCGAAACUUAAAGGAAUAGGCGGGGGGAUACUACAACCAGAGACGCGUGCGGUUCAAUUAGAUUCUACACCGUGAACCUCACCAGGAUCGACAGCAGAAUGAAGGUCAGCCUAAAGGGCUUACCUGACACGCUGAGAGGAGAUGCAUGGCCAACUUCAGCCUGUGUUGUGAGAUGACCUGUUAAAUCAGGUAACAGGCGAGACCCGUAUGUAUAUUUACUUUGAACAAUAUACAGACUGCCUUGGUAACAAGGAGGAAGGCGCGGGCUACGUUAGGUGAGUACAUCCCGAAUACCCUGGGCUACACGCGCGCGGCAAUGCUGCAUUCAAAGGGCCGCGACACCGAAAGGUGAAGCUAAUCUCAUAAACUGCAGCCUAGUUCAGAUCGAGGAUUGCAACUCAUCCUCGUGACGCUGGAUUUGGUAGUAAUCGGUUUUUAUCAGAGACCGGUGAAUAAGUCAAUGUUCCUUGCACUCACCGCCCGUCAAACCAACCGAGUUUUGCUUUGGCAAGGCCCGUCAGGGACAAACCUUUGUGAGGCAAGGUAGGUUAAGUCGUCACAAGGUC